RNAcentral lists this ribosomal RNA (253 nucleotides) under uncultured bacterium. RNAcentral's name for it is "partial 16S ribosomal RNA". It matches the Rfam family "Bacterial small subunit ribosomal RNA", at positions 524 to 776 of the family's 1533-position model. The record is from RNAcentral.
UACGUAGGGUGCAAGCGUUAAUCGGAAUUACUGGGCGUAAAGCGUGCGCAGGCGGUUAUGCAAGACAGAUGUGAAAGCCCCGGGCUCAACCUGGGAAUGGCAAUGGAUACUGGCAAGCUAGAGUGCGGUAGAGGGUAGUGGAAUUCCCGGUGUAGCGGUGAAAUGCGUAGAGAUCGGGAGGAACACCAGUGGCGAAGGCGGCUACCUGGACCAGCACUGACACUGAGGCACGAAAGCGUGGGGAGCAAACAGG